GAUGAACGCUGGCGGCGUGCCUAAUACAUGCAAGUCGAGCGAACGGACGAGAAGCUUGCUUCUCUGAUGUUAGCGGCGGACGGGUGAGUAACACGUGGAUAACCUACCUAUAAGACUGGGAUAACUUCGGGAAACCGGAGCUAAUACCGGCUAAUAUUUUGAACCGCAUGGUUCAAAAGUGACAGACGGUCUUGCUGUCACUUAUAGAUGGAUCCGCGCUGCAUUAGCUAGUUGGUAAGGUAACGGCUUACCAAGGCAACGAUGCAUAGCCGACCUGAGAGGGUGAUCGGCCACACUGGAACUGAGACACGGUCCAGACUCCUACGGGAGGCAGCAGUAGGGAAUCUUCCGCAAUGGGCGAAAGCCUGACGGAGCAACGCCGCGUGAGUGAUGAAGGUCUUCGGAUCGUAAAACUCUGUUAUUAGGGAAGAACAUAUGUGUAAGUAACUGUGCACAUCUUGACGGUACCUAAUCAGAAAGCCACGGCUAACUACGUG
RNAcentral lists this ribosomal RNA (497 nucleotides) under uncultured bacterium. RNAcentral's name for it is "partial 16S ribosomal RNA". It matches the Rfam family "Bacterial small subunit ribosomal RNA", at positions 28 to 507 of the family's 1533-position model. The record is from RNAcentral.